This 574-nucleotide ribosomal RNA is filed under the name Colletotrichum sp. 41LD/L. Its description in RNAcentral is "eukaryotic LSU rRNA". The stretch from base 202 to 355 matches the Rfam family "5.8S ribosomal RNA". The record is from RNAcentral. Lineage: Eukaryota; Fungi; Ascomycota; Sordariomycetes; Glomerellales; Glomerellaceae.
CGUAGGGGGAACCUGCGGAGGGAUCAUUACUGAGUUUACGCUCUACAACCCUUUGUGAACAUACCUAUAACUGUUGCUUCGGCGGGUAGGGUCUCCGCGACCCUCCCGGCCUCCCGCCUCCGGGCGGGUCGGCGCCCGCCGGAGGAUAACCAAACUCUGAUUUAACGACGUUUCUUCUGAGUGGUACAAGCAAAUAAUCAAAACUUUUAACAACGGAUCUCUUGGUUCUGGCAUCGAUGAAGAACGCAGCGAAAUGCGAUAAGUAAUGUGAAUUGCAGAAUUCAGUGAAUCAUCGAAUCUUUGAACGCACAUUGCGCCCGCCAGCAUUCUGGCGGGCAUGCCUGUUCGAGCGUCAUUUCAACCCUCAAGCUCUGCUUGGUGUUGGGGCCCUACAGCUGAUGUAGGCCCUCAAAGGUAGUGGCGGACCCUCCCGGAGCCUCCUUUGCGUAGUAACUUUACGUCUCGCACUGGGAUCCGGAGGGACUCUUGCCGUAAAACCCCCAAUUUUCCAAAGGUUGACCUCGGAUCAGGUAGGAAUACCCGCUGAACUUAAGCAUAUCAAUAAGCGGAGGAA